Octopus bimaculoides (California two-spot octopus) is the source of this 2150-nucleotide long non-coding RNA. RefSeq lists it as uncharacterized. NCBI's taxonomy places the organism in Eukaryota, Metazoa, Mollusca, Cephalopoda, Octopoda, Octopodidae. The record is from RefSeq and is a predicted model, not a curated record.
UAAAAGAAAGAAUAUCUAGACAUAAUAAUGUAUAUCACAUCUGACAUGUUACUGCAACCACUUUACUUUUACACAUAGUAUAUAGCCCAGUAAUCUGUCACACUGCAAUCACAGUUUGACAGAAAACAUUGCACAGGAUCUAUUAUCACCAUGUCUCAAGUUAACAACAUUUCCAGUCUGAAUGGAAGAACUCUUUAUAAAGAAACUAAUUAACCAAUAGAUUUUUAAAAGAUACACAGAAUUGAGAGAGAAAUUCCACAUAAGCGCAGACAUGGCAGUGUGGUAAGAAGCUUACUUCCCAACGGCAUGGGUUUGAGCUCAAUCCCACUGCAUGGCACUUUGGCCAAGUGGCCAAGUGGCUUUUACUACAGCCCCAGGUAACCAAAGCCUCGUGUGUGGAUUUGGUUGAAGGAAACUCAAAGAAGUCUGCCGUGUGUGUGCACAUAUGCAUAUAUGUUUUUGUGCUUGUUCCCCACCACUACUAGAUAACCAGUUUUGGUUUGUUUAUUCUGAUAACUCAGAGGUUUGGCAGGUACAAGGCUGCAUAUAUUUUUUGUAGUAGUGAUAGAGAGUAAUAGUUUAUUAGAUCAAAUUCAAUAGUUGACUGCUACUUAUUUAUCAAACCUGGAAAAAUUAAAUGUAAAAACUGAUGUCAUAUACUGACCUCACCAGAAAAUGAGACACACCUAAAUAUUACAAUGUAUUUUGUUUUGUGUUUGAACAAGUAAUAUUAAUAAUGUAACUCGAAUUCAUAAUAAUAAUGUAACUCAAACUAUUUUUAUUGCAGCAGAUGAUACUAAAAUUUAAAUGAUAAUAUGUCAAUGGAAUAGAAAAUAAUGGAAAGACCAGGAAAAUAAAAACAGGAUAAAUAAUGUCAGUCGUUUGACCGUGGCCAUGCUGGAGCACCACCUUUAGUUGAACAAAUCAACCCCAGGACUUAUUUUUUGUAAGCCUGGUACUUAUUCUAUCAGUCUCUUUUGCUGAACUGCUAAGUUACGGGGACAUAAACACACCAGCAUCAGUUGUCAAGCAAUGAGCUGAAAAUACUUCACCCAGCAACCUCUACAAAGCUCAAACAAGUAUUACUUCCACAUCUGGGACAGUGCUGCUGUUUCACACAUAAACAUCCCAAUGCCAUCCAGAGAAAGGCCGCUCAACUGAUUGGUAUAAAGUUACUCACACAUACUUCAGUUUCUGGUUUAUAGAUAUACUGUCUUCUCUCUCUGCCUUUUCUGUUGCUGCUACAAUGGCCUCAGCUUCUCAGAGCUAUCUGUGCUCAUGCUAUUUAACCUAUUUAACUCAGCUCAUUAGUCUCUCAUCCUCUCAUUACUCAUGCUGUGUUCACAUUCCCCUUACAUCCUGCUUUAACCACAAUAACCAGUCCUUCCUCCUCAGAAUGUUGGUGCCUUGCAAUUAUCUUCCUGUAAAUCUUUCCUGCAUUGGUUGACAUGUAACAGUUUAAGCAGAUUAUUAAGUAUCAAUCUCAUCAGUCAUGGAAGGCAUUUGAAGGAUGUGUGCACUGUUCCUUCCUCCAAACCUAGCUAAUAAUCCUUUCUUCUAAAGGAACAAAACCUGAAAUUUAGUGAGGAGGGGACUAGGGUACUUAAUUUAUCGACCCUGAAAAGAUGAAAGGCAAAAUCAACCUCAGUGAUGGGCGAAAUACAGCUAAGCAUUUCAUCCAGCGUGUUAAUGAUUCUGCCAGCUCGCCACCUUACACCAAGCUAAUAAUAAUCAUAAUAAUAAUAAUAGAGUAUCAGUAAUACACUGGGUUGAUUCAUACCUAUUGUUGAACAGAAACAGGGCAUAGGAUUUUGCCAAAGGAAAUCUGUUGCUUAUCUUUAUCUCAACUAACUGAAUAAAUCUAUGAUCAAAAGUAAUCCAGCCUUGACUUCCAUCUCUUUUUCAAGUAUACAAUGUCUUUGACUACAUUAUGCAAUGCAUUUCUUUUUUAAGACUUAGCAGUUAUUUCAAAGAGUCCUUAUUUCUCCUUUAAGGUUAAAAACAAGUACCAAUCAAGUAAUUAAAAAUCAUCAUUUGAUCAGAAGUUGAUAUUUGCAUUCUAUUCUUCUGAACAAUUAAUAAAAUACCAGUCAAGUUAUGAAGAUUAAUUAAUUAUAAUAGGCACACAACAUACUUCUAUAAAAUCUACA